CGUUAAACAAGUGGUAUAUUGACUUUUUCACUCCCUGUCAAAGUUUCCGAAUAUGAUGUUGUCAUAUAGAUGAAAUGCAAAUUAGUUUUUUAUUGUUUUACAUCAUAUUACAUCCAUCUAUCCGAUAAUUUUGACAGCAAAAAAGUUAAUGAAGAUGAGGUUUUUCAUUAAUAUAAAAAUUGUUCUUAUGGAAUAGUCGAAUUUUCAUUUCGAUAUUUAUAUUAACAGACAUUAACAGACAGUUUCCUGCCGGGCGCUCGAUUUCCCGUCUGUGAUAUCGAUAAAUUUCGGAAACCCUCAAUCCCAGUCCCUUCUCUCGACGUUACCAGCUGAAACUAGUGGCCGAAGCCCACUUGAUAUAUUCGUCUGAUAUUCUAGCAUGUUGCAUGUUAGGUGUGGAGCAAUAGACCUUUCCCCUUUUGAGUGAAAUUUUGAUCUAGAACUAGCCUGGACAAAAAUUUCA
This is a non-coding RNA of Paramuricea clavata, 463 nucleotides long. The record is from the annotation of a GenBank genome assembly. NCBI's taxonomy places the organism in Eukaryota, Metazoa, Cnidaria, Anthozoa, Malacalcyonacea, Plexauridae.